CGAAAUUCUCAUUGGUCAGAUGCUAUAAUUUAUAUGUUUCCGCUGAGCUCUAUAUAUGUCAACUGCUAAAGCACUAUGCAUAAAAAACACAUUAACUGAUCAAAUUGGUCUUGGCCAUCUUAUCUCAAAGCACGAAAUGUUCUGUUUUGAGAAAACAGUAUUUAAAACAUUUAAACUUUUGCUUGAAUAUCUUAUAUUUCGAAAAACAGUAUAAACUGUACGAUCUAAAUUUAGUUUGCAC
RNAcentral lists this long non-coding RNA (241 nucleotides) under Paramuricea clavata. The record is from RNAcentral. Lineage: Eukaryota; Metazoa; Cnidaria; Anthozoa; Malacalcyonacea; Plexauridae.